This 889-nucleotide ribosomal RNA is filed under the name uncultured archaeon. RNAcentral describes it as "bacterial SSU rRNA". It matches the Rfam family "Archaeal small subunit ribosomal RNA", at positions 22 to 903 of the family's 1478-position model. The record is from RNAcentral.
GGCCACUGCUAUUAGGGUCCGGCUAAGCCAUGCGAGUGGAGGGCGUUCCGAAAGGGGUGGCCCCGCACACGGCUCGGUAACACGUAGUCAACCUGCCCUCGAGUCUGGGACAACCUCGGGAAACUGAGGACAAUCCCGGAUGAGCGAAGGACGCUGGAAUGCCCCUUCGCUGAAAGCUCCGGCGCUCGAGGAUGGGACUGCGAUCUAUCAGGCUGUUGGUGGUGUAACGGACCACCAAACCUACGACGGGUACGGGCGAUGGGAGUCGGAGCCCGGAGAUGGGGACUGAGACAAGGCCCCAGGCCCUACGGGGCGCAGCAGGCGCGAAAACUCCGCAAUGCGCGAAAGCGUGACGGGGGGACCCUAAGUGCCGCUGAUCUUUUGAUCGGCGGCUUUUAUGAAGCUUAAGGAGCUUUGGGAAUAAGGGCUGGGUAAGACUGGUGCCAGCCGCCGCGGUAAUACCAGCAGCCCAAGUGGUGGUCGCGAUUAUUGGGCCUAAAGCGCUCGUAGCCGGGUCGGUAAGUCCCUUGUGAAAUCGGGCGGCUCAACCGUUCGGCUUGCAAGGGGGACUGCUGGCCUUGGGACCGGGAGACGCCGAGGGUACUUCAGGGGUAGCGGUGAAAUGCUGUAAUCCUUGGGGGACUACCAGUGGCGAAGGCGCUCGGCGAGAACGGAUUCGACGGUGAGGGGCGAAAGCUGGGGGCGCGAACGGGAUUAGAUACCCCGGUAGUCCCAGCCGUAAAGCAUGCGGGCCAGGUGUUCGGCAUCCCUCGAGGGUGCUGAGUGCCGGAGGGAAGUCGUUAAGCCCGCCGCCUGGGAAGUACAGUCGCAAGGCUGAAACUUAAAGAAAUUGGCGGGGGAGCACCACAAGGGGUGGAGCCUGCGGUUC